RNAcentral lists this ribosomal RNA (522 nucleotides) under fungal clone UUF-38. RNAcentral describes it as "SSU rRNA". It matches the Rfam family "Eukaryotic small subunit ribosomal RNA", at positions 216 to 737 of the family's 1831-position model. Lineage: Eukaryota; Fungi. The record is from RNAcentral.
AUACAAAACCCAAUGCCCUUCGGGGCUCUCUUGGUGAUUCAUGAUAACUUCUCGAAUCGCACGGCCCCGCGCCGGCGAUGGUUCAUUCAAAUUUCUUCCCUAUCAACUUUCGAUGCUACGGUAUUGUCCUAGCAUGGUUGCAACGGGUGACGGAGGGUUAGGGCUCGACCCCGGAGAAGGAGCCUGAGAAACGGCUACUACAUCCAAGGAAGGCAGCAGGCGCGCAAAUUACCCAAUCCCGAUACGGGGAGGUAGUGACAAUAAAUACUGAUACGGGGCACUUUUGGGUCUCGUAAUUGGAAUGAGAACAAUUUAAAUCCCUUAACGAGGAACAAUUGGAGGGCAAGUCUGGUGCCAGCAGCCGCGGUAAUUCCAGCUCCAAUAGCGUAUAUUAAAGUUGUUGUGGUUAAAAAGCUCGUAGUUGAACCUUGGGCCUGGCUGGCCGGUCCGCCUCACCGCGUGUACUGGUCCGGCCGGGCCUUUCCCUCUGUGGAACCCUAUGCCCUUCACUGGGUGUARCCU